UGACCCGUGGUGUAACGGUAGCACUGCAGAUUUUGGUUCUGCCUGUCAAGGUUCGAAUCCUUGCGGGUCAA
This 71-nucleotide transfer RNA is filed under the name Bacteroidota bacterium. RNAcentral describes it as "Bacteroidetes bacterium tRNA-Gln". It matches the Rfam family "tRNA". Rfam says of the family: Transfer RNA (tRNA) molecules are approximately 80 nucleotides in length. Their secondary structure includes four short double-helical elements and three loops (D, anti-codon, and T loops). RNAcentral also lists the same sequence under 1 other name. The record is from RNAcentral. Lineage: Bacteria; Pseudomonadati; Bacteroidota.